RNAcentral lists this ribosomal RNA (399 nucleotides) under Chlamydocillium curvulum. Its description in RNAcentral is "Kiflimonium curvulum partial small subunit ribosomal RNA". It matches the Rfam family "Eukaryotic small subunit ribosomal RNA", at positions 30 to 432 of the family's 1831-position model. Lineage: Eukaryota; Fungi; Ascomycota; Sordariomycetes; Hypocreales. The record is from RNAcentral.
GCUUGUCUCAAAGAUUAAGCCAUGCAUGUCUAAGUAUAAGCAAUUAUACAGCGAAACUGCGAAUGGCUCAUUAUAUAAGUUAUCGUUUACUUGAUAGUGCCUUACUACUUGGAUAACCGUGGUAAUUCUAGAGCUAAUACAUGCUGAAAAGCCCCGACUCACGAAGGGGUGUAUUUAUUAGAUUCAAAGCCAAUGCCCUUCGGGGCUCUUUGGUGAUUCAUGAUAACUAAACGAAUCGCACGGCCUUGCGCCGGCGAUGGUUCAAUCAAGUUUCUUCCCUAUCAACUUUCGAUGGUUGGGUAUUGGCCAACCAUGGUUGCAACGGGUAACGGAGGGUUAGGGCUCGACCCCGGAGAAGGAGCCUGAGAAACGGCUACUACAUCCAAGGAAGGCAGCAGG